Molecule: ribosomal RNA, 935 nt
Filed under: uncultured Pyramimonadales
Lineage: Eukaryota; Viridiplantae; Chlorophyta; Pyramimonadophyceae; Pyramimonadales
Description: partial Bacterial large subunit ribosomal RNA
Rfam family: Bacterial large subunit ribosomal RNA
Source: RNAcentral
CUGGGUUUCCCACAGAAAACUUAAAAAAAAAACUAGUUGAACUGAAACAUCUAAGUAAACUAAGAAAAAAUCAACCGAGAUUCUGAUAGUAGCAGCGAGUGAAAUUGGAAAAGAAAAACGACAAACUUGCUCCCCCUAAACCUCGGCGGCAAAGCCGUCCUAAACCAUAGAAGGUGUAGUUAAGUCCUUUAAGGGAAAUAAAUUGCUCUUGCAAAAAAAGAGAAAUAUUGAGAGAGUCGUGUAAAAGUAAGGCACCCGCAAUAGUGUUUGAAAAUCAAGGUACCUUCCUUGAAGACUUAAUGAAUUUUUAUGACCGAUAGUGAACAGUACCAUGAGGGAACGAUGAAAAGACCUCAUCAUUUUGGAGAGUGAAAUAGUUCUGGAAAUACAAAGUGACAUCUAUUGAAAAUCAAGUAAUGUACCUUUUGCAUAAUGGACCAGCGACUACAUUUAUUUAGCGAGUUUAAGCUAAGCUAGACGUAGAGAAAUCAUAUAGAGCCCCUCGUAUAAUGAGGACCUGGCUUGGAUUGUUAGAUAAAUGUUAUCCGAAAGCAAGUGAUCUAGUUAUGAACAGGCUGAAGAGGAGAUAUCAUUUCUUGGAGGGCCGAACUCGUGUAUGUUGCAGAAUACUGAGAUGAUUUGUAAUUAGGGGUGAAAGGCCAAUCAAACUUGCAGAUAGCUGAUUUUUUGCGAAAUCUAUUGAAGUAGAGAGGAUUCUCUUUUAACUUUUAGGGUGUAGAGCACUCGCUAGACUAGGGUGGCCCAAAGCUUUACCAAACCUAACGAAACUCCGAAGACCUAUGAAUCAGUAUGUAGCAAACUCAAGCUAUUAUUACGAAAAAGUAAGAGUCUAUACAGAGUGUGGGUGCUAAGGUCCACACUCAAAUGGGAAACAGCCCAAAUGCGUUUUUAAAGUCUCUAACCGAUGGCUUCGA